AGGGAGCUUGCUCCUGGAUUCAGCGGCGGACGGGUGAGUAAUGCCUAGGAAUCUGCCUGGUAGUGGGGGAUAACGUUCCGAAAGGAACGCUAAUACCGCGUACGUCCUACGGGAGAAAGCAGGGGACCUUCGGGCCUUGCGCUAUCAGAUGAGCCUAGGUCGGAUUAGCUAGUUGGUGAGGUAAUGGCUCACCAAGGCGACGAUCCGUAACUGGUCUGAGAGGAUGAUCAGUCACACUGGAACUGAGACACGGUCCAGACUCCUACGGGAGGCAGCAGUGGGGAAUAUUGGACAAUGGGCGAAAGCCUGAUCCAGCCAUGCCGCGUGUGUGAAGAAGGUCUUCGGAUUGUAAAGCACUUUAAGUUGGGAGGAAGGGCUGUAGGCUAAUAUCCUGCGGUUUUGACGUUACCAACAGAAUAAGCACCGGCUAACUUCGUGCCAGCAGCCGCGGUAAUACGAAGGGUGCAAGCGUUAAUCGGAAUUACUGGGCGUAAAGCGCGCGUAGGUGGUUCGUUAAGUUGGAUGUGAAAGCCCCGGGCUCAACCUGGGAACUGCAUCCAAAACUGGCGAGCUAGAGUACGGUAGAGGGUAGUGGAAUUUCCUGUGUAGCGGUGAAAUGCGUAGAUAUAGGAAGGAACACCAGUGGCGAAGGCGACUACCUGGACUGAUACUGACACUGAGGUGCGAAAGCGUGGGGGAGCAAACAGGAUUAGAUACCCUGGUAGUCCACGCCGUAUACGAUGUCAACUAGCCGUUGGAAUCCUUGAGAUUUUAGUGGCGCAGCUAACGCAUUAAGUUGACCGCC
RNAcentral lists this ribosomal RNA (805 nucleotides) under Ectopseudomonas oleovorans. RNAcentral describes it as "bacterial SSU rRNA". It matches the Rfam family "Bacterial small subunit ribosomal RNA", at positions 73 to 873 of the family's 1533-position model. Lineage: Bacteria; Pseudomonadati; Pseudomonadota; Gammaproteobacteria; Pseudomonadales; Pseudomonadaceae. The record is from RNAcentral.